GAAUUUGCCCUGACAGACACAGAGCCUGGGGCUGGAGAUUUUCUGAGAUGCCUCAGGCUCCUUCCCACAAAUUUCGCAUCAGCUUGAGCUCAGUGGGAGUAGAAUCUGCCACCGACAAACUCCUAAGAUGGCUUUGUUCAUUCCCACCUUCAUCAUAAAUCAGGUUGGGGUGGAGAAGCAAUAUCCCUAAGGGAAAAAUAAAAGUCUCCAAGCUAGGACUUUCAGCCUGGGGCCUGACAUUGCACAGAAAAUGGCCACUGCAGUCUCACAGGAACGCAGCCAGUCAAUGGUUUUCCUGAAACAAACUCUCAUCAUCUGAGAGAACCUGCAUGCACCUCUGCUCCCUGCACCCCAGAGGGAACCAGCAGUGUGCCCUGGGAAAAGCUGGGGCCCCACAGGUCCCAGUCUCUGAACAGGGUCUCGUAUAAAGAAGCACCGUCCAGCAACUAUUGCAGCAUUCACUGGCAUCUCGAAGACAGUAUCAACGAGUAUCUACAUCACAACCCGUAACCUCGCUCCUCAAGUUCCCUGUCCUCCCCUCCCAACCCCUGUACCCACAGCUGAUCGUGAGCCUCACACCCACCCACCUCCAGCAGUGCCAGAUUCACUCCUUACUUCCCCACUCUCUUCAUAUGGAGAGUGACAGCUUCCCUAGGUGGGUUAGAGCCGCUUUGGGCCCAUCUUUCUGAUCUUGUCUCUCUUGUUCCAUUCUCCAGUUUUUUGUUCUAAAAUAUCUGGCAAACACGUCAUUUUGAAUUAGUUUGGGGAGGUCAGGGUGCAGUUGGGGCAGGAACAUUUCCACAUUAACAAUUCUUGCUCUCACCAUGAUACUGAUUUUUUUUCUGGAGACAGAGUCUCGCUCUGUUGCCCAGGCUGGAGUGCAGUGGGGCGAUCUUGGCUCACUACAACGUCUGCCUCCUGGUUUCACACAGUUCUCAUGCCUCAGCCUCCCGAGUAGCUGGGACUACAGGUGCAUGCCACCAUACCCAACUCAUUUUUCAUAUUUUAGUGAAAACAAGGUUUCACCAUGUUGGCCAGGCUGGUCUUGAACUCCCAAGCUCUGGCAGUCUGACUGCCUCGGCCUCCCAAGGUGCUAGGAUUACAGCUGUAAGCCACUGCACCCGGCCAGAUACUGAUUUUUUUUAACCCUACUAUUUACUGGGCACAUACUACACAUCAGGCGGUGACCUCAGUAUUUUCCAUUGAAAAGAUCGUUUAAUCCUCAAAAUGAUUUCAUAAAACUGAUUAAAAUCCCUAAUUUAUAAGUAAUAACUGAGAGAGAUCAAGUACUCCAAGAAAGAAGGAAAAAGGGAGAGAGAGAAGAUCCUUGUGAUGAUGAAAUCCCUUAGACUUUGCCAUCUCAUCUUUCUCCUGCCUCCACACAAGGUCGUAGAAGAAAACAACAUGGACCACUUGCCAGCGUCUCUUUGAACAGAGAAGCUACUGCUGUCUAAGGUGGAACUCAUGACUGAGACCUGAGCCUAUCAGCCGGUCACGUGAUCCUGGCCCAGGGCUAUUGGCUGUGGGAAGUGGAUGCUGCCCGCCCUGUUGUCCUGUGGGAGCUUGAGGGGAUGUACAUCUGGCAUUGCUGGCAGGCAUUUUGUUCCCAUGAGGGAAGAGUCUGGGAGAGAAGCAACCUGGUGGAGAGUGGGCCUAAGACACGGAGAGAGGAUGUUGAUGCCGUGAGUUCCCAAUCCCGCCGCGCCCGUCAGACUUACCCUCAGCUUUCCAGUCUCAGGAGCCAACACUCUUUCCUUCAGCCAGAUCAAGGUCCUUGUCACUUACAGCCAACACCACAACUGAUACAAAAGGGAAGGACACAAAACAAUUGUGGAGAAAGCCGUCUGGAUGGAGCCAGCAGCUUCGCUACCAUCGAGUGGCAUUUCCAGAGAGCAGAUGCACGCGGAGGGGUGUAGUUUGAAGGAAGACCUGGCGGGAUUUGCUAAUGAAUUGGAUAGCAGCGUAGUGAAAGAGACCCUCAGGAAUGACUUCCGGUUUUUAGGCUAAGGAAUUGCAAGAAUGGAACCAUGAACGGAGAUGUUGGUUUAGACCAGUCGCCCUCUGGACCAAGCUGCUGUGAGCAUGGAUUUAACAAAAUGUCAGCCCCACUGGGUAUGAUUUUCAAGUAUGAAUUCAAAACCUAUGGUGAGUUUCUACCAGUUUAAUCAAAAGUCCUUUUAUUUUGUUCUGGGUAAACACAGCUACGUCUGGGGUUUGCAUGCAAAGCAGUGGCUUUGACUUUCUUUUCGUUUUUUUGUAAAGCAGUAUUCAUCCAGUUAUGAGAAAACCACUUUUGCUUAUUGACCUUCUAAAAUGUCGGCAUUGUAAAUCAAAUCACUUGCAAAAAAUCCUCCAAAACAUAAUUUUUCAAAGCUUUCAUCCCUAAAGAAGUCAAUGUAUAAGGAAUAAGUGGUGAACGAGCCAGGGUCCUCUUCUCCUCUCUAGAGGAGGUAAAACGUCCUGGGCUGGGAGAGAGAGGAAGAGAAGCCAGAGGUUGGAUGGUGGGCAGCUUUUGAGAAGGGGUUUCAUGUUCUGCCCUUCCUGGGUCAGUUUCAUGGAAGGUCCCCAAUGCACGAACAAAUCAGAGAGGCCUGGAGCGGUAGGAGCUCAAGGGCAGAGCCAUGAGCUGCGUUCCGGCGACAGAGGAGACAUGGCUGGUUCGCGUCGUGUCUGCAUCUGAGCAGAGAGCUUGCCUCUGCUUUGUGAGUUUCUCCAGCCCUGAGUGGGGAGUGGAGCAGCCUCUUCCCCUACCCCACCCCUGUGUCCAGGGAUGCUCAGAAGUCCCCGAAGUAAAGGCAGACUUGGAGACACCUGGAGCCUGGGAAUGCGGGAGGGGAUGGACUGGAUGAUGUCUUUGUGAAUCUCUCAAGGAUGGGCAGGAUGUGGUCCAUCUCAGUGGAUAGUGGCCUGCAGCGCAGGUGACUGGCAGACAGGUGUGUCCCCAGUCUCCACUGCUGCAGCCGGCAAGGCCCUCUGGAAACCUUGCUGCAACCUCUGAUGGGAACAGCCCCGGUGGAUGGGAAGCUGCUGUCUGGAUGAAGAGUGAUUCAAGGAAGCUAUGGAUGGAGUUAGGGAAAUACAGCAUUGCAUUUCAUUCUGGGUCUGAUGCGUGUGCCUGACUCAGGGUGGGGCUUCUCUGGGACUGUUAAGAAGUGUGUAUGAGUUCUCUAUGAGAAUUUAAAUGUGCAUAUAUUUGGGUCCCUCCAAAAUUCCUAGGUUGAAGUCCUCACCCCUACUGUGAUGGAAUCAGGAAGAGAAGCCUUUGGGAGGUGAUUAGGUCAUGGAGGGUGGGGCUCUCAUAGAUGGGAUGAGUGCCGUUAUAUAAAGCCAGAGCAAAGAGAGCUCCCUUGUUCCUGCGUCUGUGGGAGGACGGCGCCACCCAAGAACCAGGAGGGACACACUCAGCAGACACCCAAUCUGCUGGUGCCUUAAUCCUGGACUUCCCAACCUCCGGAAUGAUGAGCAAUAAAGUUCUGUUGUUUGUAAGCCAUCCAGUCUGUGGUGUUCGGUUAUAGCAUCCUGAACAGACUAAGACAAUGUUUUGUAAGAGCCCAUUUGGGUUUCCUGGGUGGCCCACAGGAGCUAUGCAGGGGUUCUGGGGUCUGUGCCUUUGGGACUAGAUGACGCAGCUGUCAGAGCCUGUGGCUUGGCUUGGUCAGCGCCUGCCCUUCCCUCCAGUCUCCUCCAUCUUGGCUCCCACCCCUCCUGCCCCCACUGCUCCCCCAGCUCCAGAUUCUUCACCUUAUGAUGUUCCAUAAAGGAAUGCAGCUCUCCCCAGCUCAAGUCCCACAGCCUCUCACCUGAACUCCUGAAGGUGCUCAGCAGAACCCAGAGCCCUCCAUCUGGCAGGAUGAGUCCUCACUCUAGGAACCAUGGGAACCACAGACUCCACCUGAGGCAGCAGCUGCUGCGCACAGAGCAG
Molecule: long non-coding RNA, 3922 nt
Filed under: Homo sapiens (human)
Lineage: Eukaryota; Metazoa; Chordata; Mammalia; Primates; Hominidae
Description: HSALNT0269481
Source: RNAcentral